Felis catus (domestic cat) is the source of this 85-nucleotide transfer RNA. It matches the Rfam family "tRNA". From Rfam's summary of the family: Transfer RNA (tRNA) molecules are approximately 80 nucleotides in length. Their secondary structure includes four short double-helical elements and three loops (D, anti-codon, and T loops). NCBI's taxonomy places the organism in Eukaryota, Metazoa, Chordata, Mammalia, Carnivora, Felidae. The record is from Rfam.
GCCUGGGUGGCUCAGUCGGUUAAGCAUCCGACUUCCACUCAGGUCAUGAUCUCAUGGCUUGUGGGUUCGAGCCCCAUGUCAGGUU